AGCCUGACGGAGCGACGCCGCGUGAGCGAAGAAGGCCUUCGGGUCGUAAAGCUCGAUAGUGUGGGAAGAAGGAAUGACGGUACCACACGAAAGCCCCGGCUAACUACGUGCCAGCAGCCGCGGUAAGACGUAGGGGGCGAGCGUUGUCCGGAGUUACUGGGCGUAAAGGGCGCGUAGGCGGUUUAGCAAGUCAGGUGUAAAAGGCCACGGCUCAACCGUGGAUAUGCAUCUGAAACUGCUAGGCUAGAGGGCAGGAGAGGGGAGUGGAAUUCCCGGUGUAGCGGUGAAAUGCGUAGAUAUCGGGAGGAAUACCAGUGGCGAAGGCGACUCCCUGGACUGGCCCUGACGCUGAGGCGCGAGAGCGUGGGGAGCGAACAGGAUUAGAUACCCUGGUAGUCCACGCUGUAAACGAUGGGUGCUAGGUGUGGGGAGCGGAAGCUUUCCGUGCCGUAGGAAACCCAAUAAGCACCCGCCUGGGGAGUACGGCCGCAAGGCUGAAACUCAAAGGAAUUGACGGGGGCCCGCACAAGCGGUGGAGCAUGUGGUUUAAUUCGAAGC
This 558-nucleotide ribosomal RNA is filed under the name Caldanaerobacter subterraneus subsp. yonseiensis KB-1. RNAcentral describes it as "bacterial SSU rRNA". It matches the Rfam family "Bacterial small subunit ribosomal RNA", at positions 380 to 957 of the family's 1533-position model. Lineage: Bacteria; Bacillati; Bacillota; Clostridia; Thermoanaerobacterales; Thermoanaerobacteraceae. The record is from RNAcentral.